Molecule: ribosomal RNA, 245 nt
Filed under: uncultured Bacteroidales bacterium
Lineage: Bacteria; Pseudomonadati; Bacteroidota; Bacteroidia; Bacteroidales
Description: partial 16S ribosomal RNA
Rfam family: Bacterial small subunit ribosomal RNA
Source: RNAcentral
CGUCGACCGGCGCACGGGUGAGUAACGCGUAUCCAACCUUCCCAUUACUGUGGGAUAACCUGCCGAAAGGCAGACUAAUACCGCAUAGUCUUCGAUGACGGCAUCAGAUUUGAAGUAAAGAUUUAUCGGUAAUGGAUGGGGAUGCGUCUGAUUAGCUUGUUGGCGGGGUAACGGCCCACCAAGGCGACGAUCAGUAGGGGUUCUGAGAGGAAGGUCCCCCACAUUGGAACUGAGACACGGUCCAA